Molecule: long non-coding RNA, 1901 nt
Organism: Frankliniella occidentalis (western flower thrips)
Lineage: Eukaryota; Metazoa; Arthropoda; Insecta; Thysanoptera; Thripidae
Exons: 7
Source: RefSeq, a predicted model, not a curated record
AAUAUUGCCAACCUCGAUCAUUAUGUCAUCCUGGUGUGAUUUUGGACAAAAAAAAUAACAAAAACCUGCAUCCUUUUAGAUUGAGAGACAGUCUCUUUAUUAUGAAGUCCAUCCGAAUUUUAGUCACUCAUCUCUGUGGUUAUUUGAUGACAGUUGGCAACAAAGUUACUUGGAACAAAGCAGACGGAUGUCUUGUUCAGUCAGUUCUGUCAGUGGUUUGAACUAUCGGUACAGUCUUUUGCAUCCAAAAGACUAUGUAAAUGUGAUUUUUUUUUUGUCGAGUGGUGUCAUUUGCACUUGGGCCCAUUAAUGACUUUAUUUAACGAUUUACAUGUAUUAUUUUGGCCUUGGAAUGAUUUUACAUUGGUCAAACAAAUUUAUUUGAGUUCAUGAGCGUCGAAAUAAGGUCUCAGAGUUAUAGCUUCAGCUUUAGUUAAAGCUAAGUACUCGACCAAUAAAUAUCAUAAAUUUUAUUCACUUAUUGACACCUUGCUUAUUGACUGCAGUCCAAUUAAGUUGUUUGUAUGAAGGCCGUGAAGAUUAGAUCACGGUCUUUCAAAAUGUUCCAGGAGCUGCAGUUGCGUUUCAGACCAGCACAUUGCAAAAUUUAUAACUUCAUAGCACUCAUUUGGUAAACUAUCUCUCCAAAACGAAAUGCUCAUGUUUGUCAAGUCUUCUAUUUUGGAAAUAUGAAGAACAAACGAAUGCAAUGCCCGCUGUUUAUUUACUUCAAUGUUUAAAGUUUCACGAUAAGCUGUGUUGUUUGUGAGAAAUGGUUUCACGGGAAAUGUGUAGGGCAAUUCAAAAAUAGGAAGAAGACUGGGUCUGUCCCCUCUGUUCUGGAAGACAUGCUAGCAUAUGGGUCAAAGAAAGGCUCAGCAAAAACUCAUUUUAUGGUUUAAUGGUUAUUUGUACUUCUAGUUCUUUCAAUACUCCAAAAACAAUCAGGAAAAUUUCUCAAAUUCCGCCACUCAAGGAAGCUCAUUCUCGCUUACCAUCUCAUAGUGGAUUAGCUAACAUUACACCUACCUCAGACUCAAAAUCAAAGAAAAUUCAAAGUAAAUUGGAAGGAAGUCAUGGGGAUUGUGACCUGAAAGAUAUUCCGCCCUUUGCCUGCUUUGUCACCUGUAGAUCAAGCUUGUCCUCCUCCACUUACUCUGAUUUCUCAGAAGGGGAUCUUGGAAAUUCCUCCAGUCAUCAAUGAGCAGGAUACUUCUAGAAGUUUUAACACUCAAGAAAAGAAUCAAGAAAUUUGAAACUCUUUCACCAACAACACCUUAGCCUCUCUCAAUCCGUCCAGUUGUGAAACCUAUCCCACACUUAAACUUAAGGCCAGUUAAACUGAAAUUUGAUGGAAGUUUGGGGGAUUGUGACCGAAAAGAUGAACUUCCCUCCGCUACUCUGCCCUCCUAGGAGUCCAAUCUACAGGCCACUAAGCAAUCUUUGUCUUAGAUUCAUUCUUUUAAAAAAUCUUAUAUCUGGUAUUUUUCACAUUUCUAAAAACUUAUCAGUUUAAUGAUGGAUUUAGUCUCAGUGAAGCCAGUGAAGCUGAAGCCACCCCGUCACUUGUUUUGGGCAAUCUGAUUGGUUGAAUGACCAAGCGACCAAUCAGAUUACCCAAAACAAAUGACGGGGUGGCUUCAGCUUCACUGGCUUCACUGAGACUAAAUCCAUCAUUACCCUUACUCCUUGCCCAACAUCAAAAAUGUGCUUUUCACUUUAGAAGGGAAUUUUUUGUUGGAACUACCCACACAUUUGUGUCACUCAAUUAUUUGUCAUCCUCCUCUUUAUCCUCUUUGGUGCUGAUUAUUGUUGGUAGAUUAAGUCAGUCAUGUCUUUGUUUGGUCAAUGUGUCUGUGUAGCGGUGGAAAUAAAUGUCCAGUGUGUUAUAGUGGAAGAAA